Molecule: ribosomal RNA, 366 nt
Filed under: Bacillus sp. S3D
Lineage: Bacteria; Bacillati; Bacillota; Bacilli; Caryophanales; Bacillaceae
Description: bacterial SSU rRNA
Rfam family: Bacterial small subunit ribosomal RNA
Source: RNAcentral
UAGGGAAUCUUCRGCAAUGNGCGAAAGCCUGACCGAGCAACGCCGCGUGAGCGAUGAAGGCUUCGGGUCGUAAAGCUCUGUUGUUAGAGAAGAACAAGUACGAGAGUAACUGCUCGUACCUUGACGGUACCUAACCAGAAAGCCACGGCUAACUACGUGCCAGCAGCCGCGGUAAUACGUAGGUGGCAAGCGUUAUCCGGAAUUAUUGGGCGUAAAGCGCGYGCAKGCGGUCUCUUAAGUMUGAUGUGAAAGCCCACGGCUCAACCGUGGAGGGUCAUUGGAAACUGGGAGACUUGAGUGCAGGAGAGAAAAGUGGAAUUCCACGUGUAGCGGUGAAAUGCGUAGAGAUGUGGAGGAACACCAGUG